This 497-nucleotide ribosomal RNA is filed under the name uncultured bacterium. RNAcentral's name for it is "partial 16S ribosomal RNA". It matches the Rfam family "Bacterial small subunit ribosomal RNA", at positions 28 to 507 of the family's 1533-position model. The record is from RNAcentral.
GAUGAACGCUGGCGGCGUGCCUAAUACAUGCAAGUCGAGCGAACGGACGAGAAGCUUGCUUCUCUGCUGUUAGCGGCGGACGGGUGAGUAACACGUGGAUAACCUACCUAUAAGACUGGGAUAACUUCGUGAAACCGUAGCUAAUAACAGAUCAUAUUUUGAACCGCAUGGUUCAAAAGUUCAAGACGGUCUUCCUGUCACUUAUAGAUGGAUCCGCGCUGCAUUAGCUAGUUGGUAAGGUAACGGCUUACCAAGGCGACGAUGCAUAGCCGACCUGAGAGGGUGAUCGGCCACACUGGAACUGAGACACGGUCCAGACUCCUACGGGAGGCAGCAGUAGGGAAUCUUGCGCAAUGGGCGAAAGCCUGACGGAGCAACGCCGCGUGAGUGAUGAAGGUCUUCGGAUCGUAAAACUCUGUUAUUAGGGAAGAACAGAUGUGUAAGUAUCUGUGCACAUCUUGACGGUACCUAAUCAGAAAGCCACGGCUAACUACGUG